This is a long non-coding RNA of Lactuca sativa (garden lettuce), 455 nucleotides long. RefSeq lists it as uncharacterized. Lineage: Eukaryota; Viridiplantae; Streptophyta; Magnoliopsida; Asterales; Asteraceae. The record is from RefSeq and is a predicted model, not a curated record.
AGAUAUGAAAACGACCUUCCAACCACAUUUAUAGUUCACUUCGUUUUAUCUCAAUUGAACAUAUCUAAAGAAAGGAAGUUAAACUGAAAGUCAUAUGGAGGCACUCUCAGUAUAUCAAUACAUAACACAAAGUGGUGCAAGUCCAGAUGUGGUAACCUACACUACACUUAUGAAGGAUUUUCUAAGGGCAAAGGAGUUCGACAAGGUGCAAAAACAAUCACAUACUUCAUCAUCAUUGAAUUUGGCAUCUAUUUCUUUACUUUUCUAGUCCUUUAGGUUGUGUUUGUUACACGUGUAGUUGGAAUUGGAUAAAUGCUUGGUAGGUGAAUUCCAAGUACUUGUAAUAUAUGGGGAUAUGGAGUCUGCUAGAUGUUUAGCGGAUAGGAAAGCCAUAGAGUUGCUUCAAACUGAAAACAUUGUUCUUCAAUGUGGACAUUAGUUAUUUUUAAGCCUUA